This 67-nucleotide transfer RNA is filed under the name bovine gut metagenome. It matches the Rfam family "tRNA". Rfam says of the family: Transfer RNA (tRNA) molecules are approximately 80 nucleotides in length. The record is from RNAcentral.
GUCGUAGCUCAGUUGGUAGAGCUUCUGACUUUUAAUCAGAAGAUCACGGGUUCGAGCCCCGUCGGCA